ACACUCCUACGGGAGGCAGCAGUGGGGAAUAUUGGACAAUGGGCGCAAGCCUGAUCCAGCCAUGCCGCGUGAGUGAUGAAGGCCCUAGGGUUGUAAAGCUCUUUCACCGGUGAAGAUAAUGACGGUAACCGGAGAAGAAGCCCCGGCUAACUUCGUGCCAGCAGCCGCGGUAAUACGAAGGGGGCUAGCGUUGUUCGGAUUUACUGGGCGUAAAGCGCACGUAGGCGGACUAUUAAGUCAGGGGUGAAAUCCCGGGGCUCAACCCCGGAACUGCCUUUGAUACUGGUAGUCUUGAGUUCGAGCGAGGUGAGUGGAAUUCCGAGUGUAGAGGUGAAAUUCGUAGAUAUUCGGAGGAACACCAGUGGCGAAGGCGGCUCACUGGCUCGAUACUGACGCUGAGGUGCGAAAGCGUGGGGAGCAAACAGGAUUAGAAACCCUAGUAGUCCCAUGA
RNAcentral lists this ribosomal RNA (451 nucleotides) under uncultured organism. RNAcentral's name for it is "partial 16S ribosomal RNA". It matches the Rfam family "Bacterial small subunit ribosomal RNA", at positions 333 to 800 of the family's 1533-position model. The record is from RNAcentral.